GGAUUUUCGAUGGCAAUCAAGUAGAAGCGAACACUAACAGAGUCGUGGGUACAUAUGGAUACAUGGCGCCAGAGUAUGCAAUGGAGGGGCAAUUUUCAGUAAAGUCCGACGUUUACAGCUUUGGAGUUUUAAUGCUAGAAAUCAUAAGUGGGAAAAAGAAUAUGGGCUUCUAUCAUCCAGAGCAUGGAGAAAGCCUUCUCUCAAUUGCAUGGCGACUAUGGAAUGAAGGCAAAGGACUGGAGUUGAUAGAUCAGACCUUAGUCGACACUUGUCCUCGAAGUCAGGCUCUGAGAUUGAUCCAUAUCGCAUUGUUGUGUGUUCA
Molecule: non-coding RNA, 322 nt
Organism: Corylus avellana
Lineage: Eukaryota; Viridiplantae; Streptophyta; Magnoliopsida; Fagales; Betulaceae
Source: RefSeq, a predicted model, not a curated record